Molecule: non-coding RNA, 21 nt
Organism: Caenorhabditis elegans
Lineage: Eukaryota; Metazoa; Nematoda; Chromadorea; Rhabditida; Rhabditidae
Source: Ensembl
UCAUUGAUGUUGUUGUGUUGU